CCACCUGUAGCUCAAUUGGUAGAGCACUCGUCUUAUACACGGGCGGUUCCUGGUUCGAGUCCAGGCGGGUGGA
RNAcentral lists this transfer RNA (73 nucleotides) under Candidatus Kaiserbacteria bacterium. RNAcentral's name for it is "tRNA-Ile". It matches the Rfam family "tRNA". Rfam says of the family: Transfer RNA (tRNA) molecules are approximately 80 nucleotides in length. Their secondary structure includes four short double-helical elements and three loops (D, anti-codon, and T loops). Lineage: Bacteria; Candidatus Kaiseribacteriota. The record is from RNAcentral.